GUUAUAGGGUCAAGCGAACAAGUGCAUGUGGUGGAUGCCUUGGCGAUCACAGGCGAUGAAGGACGCGGUAGCCUGCGAAAAGCU
Molecule: ribosomal RNA, 84 nt
Filed under: Burkholderia cepacia
Lineage: Bacteria; Pseudomonadati; Pseudomonadota; Betaproteobacteria; Burkholderiales; Burkholderiaceae
Description: partial 23S ribosomal RNA
Rfam family: Bacterial large subunit ribosomal RNA
Source: RNAcentral